Homo sapiens (human) is the source of this 207-nucleotide long non-coding RNA. RefSeq lists it as uncharacterized. The transcript has 3 exons. The record is from RefSeq and is a predicted model, not a curated record. NCBI's taxonomy places the organism in Eukaryota, Metazoa, Chordata, Mammalia, Primates, Hominidae.
CGGGUUCAUCUCACUAAGGAGUGCCAGACAGUGGGCGCAGCCUCACCUAUGGAUGAAGCCACAGAAGAGGAAAUGCACUCUGAGGAGGACAAUCCUGAUCUACAUCAUUAACACAGCUGAGUGAGUUUGCUCCUAAUGGAGCACAUUUCAAGCAAGAGAUUUCCAGGGUAUCAUUCUGUCGUGCAGGCCGGAAUGCAGUUAUUUGAC